This 583-nucleotide ribosomal RNA is filed under the name Wickerhamiella sergipiensis. RNAcentral describes it as "LSU rRNA". It matches the Rfam family "Eukaryotic large subunit ribosomal RNA", at positions 45 to 661 of the family's 3401-position model. Lineage: Eukaryota; Fungi; Ascomycota; Dipodascomycetes; Dipodascales; Trichomonascaceae. The record is from RNAcentral.
AAUAAGCGGAGGAAAAGAAACCAACAGGGAUUGCCUUAGUAGCGGCGAGUGAAGCGGCAAUAGCUCAAAUUUGAAAUCUGCCUUUGGCCGAGUUGUAAUUUGAAGAUACGAUUCUGAACAUGUCUUUGCUCAAGUUUUCUGGAAAGAAGCAUCAUGGAGGGUGACAAUCCCGUGAGGCAGAGAUAGCAUGUUUGUGUAGAACGUUAUCGACGAGUCGAGUUGUUUGGGAAUGCAGCUCUAAGUGGGUGGUAAAUUCCAUCUAAAGCUAAAUAUCUGCGAGAGACCGAUAGCGAACAAGUACUGUGAAGGAAAGAUGAAAAGAACUUUGAAAAGAGAGUGAAAAAGUACGUGAAAUUGUUGAAAUGGAAGGGCUUGAGAUUAGACAUGUUUUUGUGUGUUCCACUGGUUUUCGGACUUGUGUACUCAUGCUUUAACGGGCCAGCAUCAGUUUUGGCGGAAGGAUAAAUGACAUUGAAUGUGGCUCCUCGGAGUGUUAUAGCUUUGCCAAAUACUUUCAGCCGGGACUGAGGACCGCAUUUUUAGGAUGCUGGCGUAAUGGUCUUAAGCCACCCGUCUUGAAACA